AUGCUUUUAGGUGGUGGCAUUGUUCUGACUUUCUUUUCAUUUGUUUAUGGCCAGUCUCUGACCUCCUCUGGUCCAGUGGUGAAGAGACCUGGAGAGUCAGUCACUCUGUCCUGCUCUGUGUCUGGACUCUCCAUGAGCAGCUACUGGAUGCACUGGAUCCGUCAGAAACCAGGAAAGGGACUGGAGUGGAUUGGGUAUAUUAAUUAUGGCACUGGCACAACAUUUGCCCAGUCUCUCCAGGGCCAAUUCUCCAUCACCAAAGACAGCAACACACUGCACUUACAAGUGAAAAGCCUGAAAGCUGAGGACACAGCUGUUUAUUACUGCGCUCGUGACUGGGCUUUCGACUACUGGGGAAAAGGCACAAUGGUGACAGUUUCAAACGCUCCUCAAGUUGAGCCGACCCUGUUUCCUUUGGCACAAUGUGAGCCAGGUUCUGAUGGGUUCGUAACAUAUGCUUGCAUUGCCACUGGAUUUUUCCCGGAGUCCGCAACCUUCCGGUGGGACAAAAAUGGUGAAAACGUGUUGGAUGUUGUCCAGUAUCCUCCAGUUAAAAAGGAAAAUGAAAACAAAUACUCCAGAAUCAGUCAGAUUAACGUUAACAGUACUGGCAUGGGCUCACAGCAAGACAUCAGCUGUACUGUGGAACACCUUGGAAAGACUACGACUAAAUCACUUCCAGUUCCAGUCAAGGUAAAGAGAGAAAAUAGGUCGCAUAGUUGA
Clupea harengus (Atlantic herring) is the source of this 723-nucleotide non-coding RNA. Lineage: Eukaryota; Metazoa; Chordata; Actinopteri; Clupeiformes; Clupeidae. The record is from the annotation of a RefSeq genome assembly.